AGGGCGGCUAUGGCGGCAACGUUCUUCGGGGAGGUGGUGAGGGCGCCGUGCCGAGCCGGGACGGAGGACGAGGAGGAGGAGGAAGAGGAGGGGAGGAGGGAGACGCCCGAAGACGGGGAGGUCCGGCAGCAACUGUCGCGGAAGAGGGAGGUGCGGCUCCUUCGAAGACAAACAAAAACAACUUUGGAAGUUUCUCUGCUAGAAAAAUAUCCUUGCUCCAAGUUUAUAAUUGCUAUAGGAAAUAAUGCAGUAGCAUUUUUGUCAUCAUUCAUCAUGAAUUCAGGAGUCUGGGAAGAAGUUGGUUGUGCUAAACUCUGGAAUGAAUGGUGUAGGACAGUGGACACUACACACCUGUCCCCCACAGAGGCUUUUUGUGUGUUUUAUCACCUAAAAUCGAAUCCCUCGGUUGUGCUCUGUCAAUGUAGUUGCUACGUUGCUGAAGAUCAGCAGUAUCAGUGGCUGGAAAAGGUUUUUGGCUCUUGUCCAAGGAAGAAUAUGCAAGUAACUAUUCUUACAUGUCGACAUGUUACUGACUAUAAAACUUCAGAAUCUACCAGCAGUCUUCAUACUCCUUUCCUGAAAGCCCUAAAAACACAGAAUUUCAGAGAGCCUCCUUGCUGUUCACUGCUAGAACAACCAAAUAUCGUACAUGACCUUCCUGCGGCAGUUCUGAGUUAUUGUCAAGUAUGGAAAAUCUCUGCAAUUCUGUACUUAUGUUAUACUGAUGUGAUGAAAUUAGACCUAAUCACAGUUGAAGCUUUUAAGCCUGUACUUUCUUCCAGAAGCUUGAAAAGUUUGGUUAAGAAUUUCUUCCUUCAUUAAGAGAGGUAUCAGUUUCCAAGCCUGGGAUGCAUAUGUGUGACCUGAGCCUCCUUAUUGCCUUGUGAAACUUUUUCUGCACUGUUUGUUCUUGGCCUGUUGUCACAUGUCCACUGGUGGAUGUUCUAAGUAGGAUGGGAAAUGUGGACUCCACUCUGCACCUUCAGAUCACCGAAGGAUUUGUGAACUGAAUAUUCCCCAGAGCACAGAGAUACUGAAGAAACUGAUGACAACAAAUGAGAUUCAGAGUAACAUUUACA
Eubalaena glacialis (North Atlantic right whale) is the source of this 1079-nucleotide RNA transcript. It is a transcript of the gene named proteasome assembly chaperone 1, with no coding region annotated. NCBI's taxonomy places the organism in Eukaryota, Metazoa, Chordata, Mammalia, Artiodactyla, Balaenidae. The record is from RefSeq and is a predicted model, not a curated record. The transcript is spliced from 8 exons.